RNAcentral lists this long non-coding RNA (258 nucleotides) under Pan troglodytes (chimpanzee). Its description in RNAcentral is "long non-coding RNA NONPTRT003609". The record is from RNAcentral. Lineage: Eukaryota; Metazoa; Chordata; Mammalia; Primates; Hominidae.
UUUGUUCUGUUUGCUUACUCUUACUUUGGCUAUAUAGGCUCUUUUUUGGUUCCAUAUGAAUUUUAGAAUUGUUUUUUUCUAGUUCUAUGAAGAAUAAUGGAUACAUUUAGCAGGAUCACUAAAAUAUUAUCAUCACAAUUUAAGAGUUAUAGUGAACACUUUGUUCUUCUAGAGUUCAUGUCAAACUACAUCUGCAAAGCCACCUUGUCAGUAGGCAGUCAUAAUGCCUGUGAGAAUGUCGGUUAGCACCAUAACAUU